ACUUGGAUAGCUCAGUCGGUAGAGCAAGGAACCGAAAAUCCUUGUGCCGCUGCUUCCGUUCCGGCUCCACGCACCA
RNAcentral lists this transfer RNA (76 nucleotides) under Candidatus Tokpelaia sp. Its description in RNAcentral is "tRNA-Phe". It matches the Rfam family "tRNA". Rfam says of the family: Transfer RNA (tRNA) molecules are approximately 80 nucleotides in length. Their secondary structure includes four short double-helical elements and three loops (D, anti-codon, and T loops). The record is from RNAcentral. Lineage: Bacteria; Pseudomonadati; Pseudomonadota; Alphaproteobacteria; Hyphomicrobiales.